AUUGAACGCUGGCGGCAUGCUUUACACAUGCAAGUCGAACGGCAGCACGGACUUCGGUUAGGUGGCGAGUGGCGAACGGGUGAGUAAUACAUCGGAACGUAGCCAGUAAUGGGGGAUAACUAGUCGAAAGAUUAGCUAAUACCGCAUACCACCUACGGGGGAAAGACGGGGAUCGCAAGAGCUCUUGUUAUUGGAGCGGCCGAUGGCUGAUUAGCUAGUUGGGGGGGUAAAGUCAUACCAAGGCGACGAUCAGUAACCGGUCUUAGAGGACGAUACGCUACACUGGAACUGAGACACGGUCCAGACUCCUACGGGAGGCAGCAGUGGGGAAUCUUGGACAAUGGGCGAAAGCCUGAUCCAGCAAUGCCGCGUGCGUGAAGAAGGCCUUCGGGUUGUAAAGCGCUUUUGUCUGGGAGCAAAUCCUUGUGGCUAAUACCCACCGGGGAUGAGAGUACCAGAAGAAUAAGGACCGGCUAACUACGUGCCAGCCGCCGCAGUAA
Molecule: ribosomal RNA, 500 nt
Filed under: uncultured bacterium
Lineage: Bacteria
Description: partial 16S ribosomal RNA
Rfam family: Bacterial small subunit ribosomal RNA
Source: RNAcentral